This 492-nucleotide ribosomal RNA is filed under the name uncultured bacterium. RNAcentral's name for it is "partial 16S ribosomal RNA". It matches the Rfam family "Bacterial small subunit ribosomal RNA", at positions 29 to 507 of the family's 1533-position model. The record is from RNAcentral.
AGUGAACGCUGGCGGUAGGCCUAACACAUGCAAGUCGAACGGCAGCACAGUAAGAGCUUGCUCUUACGGGUGGCGAGUGGCGGACGGGUGAGGAAUACAUCGGAAUCUACUUUUUCGUGGGGGAUAACGUAGGGAAACUUACGCUAAUACCGCAUACGCCCUACGGGUGAAAGCAGGGGAUCUUCGGACCUUGCGCGAUUGAAUGAGCCGAUGUCGGAUUAGCUAGUUGGCGGGGUAAAGGCCCACCAAGGCGACGAUCCGUAGCUGGUCUGAGAGGAUGAUCAGCCACACUGGAACUGAGACACGGUCCAGACUCCUACGGGAGGCAGCAGUGGGGAAUAUUGGACAAUGGGCGCAAGCCUGAUCCAGCGAUACCGCGUGGGUGAAGAAGGCCUUCGGGUUGUAAAGCCCUUUUGUUGGGAAAGAAAAGCAGCAGGUUAAUACCCCGCUGUUCUGACGGUACCCAAAGAAUAAGCACCGGCUAACUUCGUG